GACGAACGCUGGCGGCGUGCCUAAUACAUGCAAGUCGAACGAGAGCGACCGGUGCUUGCACUGGUCAAUCUAGUGGCGAACGGGUGAGUAACACGUGGGUAACCUGCCCAUCAGAGGGGGAUAACAUUCGGAAACGGAUGCUAAAACCGCAUAGGUCUUCGAACCGCAUGGUUUGAAGAGGAAAAGAGGCGCAAGCUUCUGCUGAUGGAUGGACCCGCGGUGCAUUAGCUAGUUGGUGAGGUAACGGCUCACCAAGGCCGUGAUGCAUAGCCGACCUGAGAGGGUGAUCGGCCACAUUGGGACUGAGACACGGCCCAAACUCCUACGGGAGGCAGCAGUAGGGAACCUUCCGCAAUGGACGCAAGUCUGACGGAGCAACGCCGCGUGAGUGAAGAAGGUUUUCGGAUCGUAAAACUCUGUUGUUAGAGAAGAACAAGUGCUAGAGUAACUGUUAGCGCCUUGACGGUAUCUAACCAGAAAGCCACGGCUAACUACGUG
This 498-nucleotide ribosomal RNA is filed under the name uncultured bacterium. Its description in RNAcentral is "partial 16S ribosomal RNA". It matches the Rfam family "Bacterial small subunit ribosomal RNA", at positions 28 to 507 of the family's 1533-position model. The record is from RNAcentral.